Molecule: ribosomal RNA, 200 nt
Filed under: uncultured bacterium
Lineage: Bacteria
Description: partial 16S ribosomal RNA
Rfam family: Bacterial small subunit ribosomal RNA
Source: RNAcentral
CCUGAACGCUGGCGGCGUGGCUAAGACAUGCAAGUCGUACGGAUGUAGCAAUACAUCAGUGGCGAACGGGAGAGUAAUGAAUCACUAAUGUGCCCCGGACUCUGGGAUAGCUUUCCGAAAGGAAAGGUAAUACCAGAUGAGACCACGAACAGGCAUCUGUUUGUGCUCAAAGGUCCGCCGGUCUGGGAGCAGGCGAUUUC